UACGAAGGGGGCUAGCGUUGCUCGGAAUUACUGGGCGUAAAGCGCACGUAGGCGGCUUUGUAAGUUAGAGGUGAAAGCCCGGGGCUCAACUCCGGAAUUGCCUUUAAGACUGCAUCGCUCGAAUUGUGGAGAGGUAAGUGGAAUUCCGAGUGUAGAGGUGAAAUUCGUAGAUAUUCGGAAGAACACCAGUGGCGAAGGCGACUUACUGGACACAUAUUGACGCUGAGGUGCGAAAGCGUGGGGAGCAAACAGG
This 253-nucleotide ribosomal RNA is filed under the name uncultured bacterium. RNAcentral describes it as "partial 16S ribosomal RNA". It matches the Rfam family "Bacterial small subunit ribosomal RNA", at positions 524 to 776 of the family's 1533-position model. The record is from RNAcentral.